RNAcentral lists this unclassified non-coding RNA (1775 nucleotides) under Patiria miniata (bat star). Its description in RNAcentral is "cDK-activating kinase assembly factor MAT1-like, transcript variant X1". The record is from RNAcentral. Lineage: Eukaryota; Metazoa; Echinodermata; Asteroidea; Valvatida; Asterinidae.
AAGAAGAACUCUUGGUGGCGCACUCUUCUGACCGGGAAGCUCGCACGUAUCGCUCGCAGCGCAGUGAUGUUUUACUUUUUCUGGGAAAGCGACUUCUGACAAUGACAUGUCUGAGGAAAAGCGAUGUUUUGUAUUUAGACUAUUAUGAGCCUUUUGAUGAUCGUGAAUUCUAGUGCAAACAAUGGAAAUGUUGGAUGAUCAAGCUUGUCCACGCUGCAAAUCAACCAAAUUCAGAAAUCCUGCCCUCAAGCUUCUGGUUAACGUCUGUGGACACACUUUAUGUGAAAACUGUGUGGAAGUGUUGUUUGUGAGAGGCUCUGGGGCCUGUCCAUCCUGUAACACUCCACUCCGCAGGAACCAGUUCCGUGUUCAGGAGUUUGAAGAUGCCUAUGUGGAGAAGGAGGUGGAUAUACGGAAACGCAUACUGAAGGAGUUCAACCGCCAGGAAGAUGAAUUUACAUCAUUACAGGAAUACAACGACUACUUGGAAGAAGUAGAAACCAUCAUAUUUAAUCUCACAAAUGAAAUUGAUAUGGAGGCGACAAAGAAAAAAGUUGAAUUAUACCGAAAGAAGAACAAAGAAAGCAUCAUGAAAAACAGAUCCAAGCAGAGUAGUGAUCAGGCUUAUCUGGAGGCUCUCAUCCAAGAAGAAAAAGAAAAAGAGGAGGAGAAGAGGCAACAGCUACAGUUUCUGGAACGCCAGACAAAAAGCCAGAAGAAACGUGAUAAAGAAGCACUUAUUGAUGAACUGAUAUACUCAGAUAUGCCAGCGGCCCGUGUGAUUGCUAGCCAUACUGCCAACGUCGAGACACAAGAAGCACCCGUUUUCAAACUACCCAAGAAAAUGACCUUAGCUACUGGCAUCAAAGUGGGUCUUGGCUAUCAGGAUACCUUCCUGCCUGUGCCUAAGCAGGAGGUGGUUGUAUACCAGUAUGAAGAGGAGCAUUAUGAGACAUAUGGCCCCACUGCACCAACCACAGAGGAGAUAGACACACAAAGAUAUAACAGGCAUGUACGGCCAGCUUCCCCACAAGGUGAAGCAGGUGGCUAUGGACACAACCUGGCAUGCCUCAGGGCCUUGCAAGAAGCUUUCUCAGGUUUGCUGUUCUUCCCAUUGAUUCAUGGCAAAAAGGAAGAGGCUUCUGUCAUGGAAACGAGUUGACGGACAGACAAUAGUCCAAGGUGUAUUUAGGACAUUUAGCCCCCUUUUGACAACUGUACCCUAGCUGUGAAAGGCUUUUUAAUGAACCUAGUUGUGACUUGACCCAUCAAAAUGAGGUACAAGUCGCCAGAGCUAAUUUUGAAUUAUUUGAUUUGUAAAAGCCUUAAGGAUCUACAUACAUAGGAAUAGUCACCCUCUUCACACCCAUAAUAUCUGUAUAUACAGUAAACUCCGGCUAAGAUAACACUCUCGGGACCAGAGAAUUUGUGACGACUUACACGAAUGUCGGCUUCUGCUGCAAGUCGUCAUUUUGCCGACUUACACAAAUACACAAAUUGAAUCACAGAGUGAAAAAAAUAGAUUGAAUUAAUGGCCUAUGCGCAUUAUUUUAACGGAUUGGGUCACAACUUCAGCCUAAUUAAAGAGUCUAAUUAAAUAUCUUGACUCUGAUUAAAGAGUCAAGAUCUGUGCCAAGUUUCAUGACUUUAUACCAAUUUGUGCACAAGGCUGCAUAUUCUGCAAGAGGGAUGGGACUAUCAGUUGAGCCAAGGGCGGAUCCAGAACACAAUUUUUUGGGGGGGCCAAAAAAAAAUUUGGUCCCCCAAAAAAGUGG